AGAGAGCACGGAAAAUUGUAGCCAAUGCAUUGGAAAGAAACUAUUUUGAAUUUCAAAUGUUAUUGAAGGAAAUCGAAAGCCAGUGUAAAGAACUGGGUAGACCUUUCAAUCCUUCUGCACUACAGGAGAAGCUAAUGUUGGUGUGGCAGCCUCAGGAAUGGGCUAAGUGAUAUGGGGAAAGCCUGAAGCAACCUUGGCACAACUGCAGAUCAAAGAGAAAAGCAAUGUGAUACAGGGGACUGAUGAUAUAAAGCAAAAACCCCCUGCCCUUUUCCAGUCCUUAAAGAAAACUGUAAAGCAAUUCCAUAUUGUUAGAGAAUAUUAUGUAAGACAAUGGUAAAUAAAGGUCUUCUUUUAGUUCAAGUUCUGGUUAAUGUCAUGCAUUUUACAACAGUCUUCCAAAGUGCUGGUUAAAUGCAUAGCUUGUAAGCUUUUACUUUGUAAAGUAAUAUUCUUCUGGUCUUCAUGUGUUCAUCUUCAAAGUAUUCAUAUUAUGCAUUUCAAAUGAGGAAUGGUUUAAUCAGCCUUUUUUUGUUUUUCAUUUGACCACAUCUUGAUGCCUUUGCUGGCCCUGUUGAAUUCCUGUUCCUGUGCUUUGAUUGAGAUGAGAAUGAGCAAUCAUAUCCUAGUAGUCAUACCUUAGUUACAUACAAAUAUAUAUUUAUAUCUAUAUCAAGAGUAUAUAUACAUAUAAACAGAUUUGACAUCUUACGUGUGGAAUUUUGUUUGCCAUAAAUGGCCAUGAGACUCAUAGUACUUAAUCCAGGCUCAAACAUAAUAGAAUGGGAGAUACUGUUGAACAUGCUGUUGUUCCUAACACAGAGAAAUGGUGGCUGAAGCUGUUUCCAAGUGUCAGAGGAUGCUAAGGAGAAGACUGUGCAAGUGAUAACACAGAUGGGCCUUGCUAUAUGGGCAAAUGUCCCAGUAUGAAAAGUGCCAGUGUUAGGCUUGAUUAAACUUAUAGCCGUAGUUCCAUAUUUUGUUCAGCAACCGCCCAAUGCCCAUCAUUAUCUUUAUUUGUUCAUGGCAUUUGUAUGCUUUCCCAUAACAUACUUUUUGUGUUUAAUAAACAAAUAUAAAUACAAAAUAUAACAUAAAAUCUUAAAAGGUGCAGUCUGGAAAAUAGAACAACAUGACAAAUCACAAAUCACCCUAAAUUAUAAACAGAUAUUAAACCUUGAGAAAUUUUGGUAAUAUGAGUUAUUUUAAAAACCUCCAUAAUGGAAGCAAUGCUGGUGAAGAGUGCACAAAAGAUGUUGAAAAUGAUGCAUGGAUGAUGCCUUAAAGAUUGUUGCUUGUCAAACCACACUGGAGAAGUCAUUCCACAAUCGAAAUAGCCCUACUGAAAAUACUUUUAUGUUACUGCCUCUGAGGAUGCUUGCCAUAGAUGCAGACGAAACGUCAGGAGAAAAUGCCUCUAGAUCAUGGCCAUAUAGCACAAAAAACCCUACAACAACCCACUUUUAUGUUAGUUCCCGGUCCCACUGCGUUUUUUACAAGUUUGCUAGGUGUUAGUCACUUGCAUAAAAAUCACAUUAAAUUGGCUUUUAAAAAUGCUCUUAUUUUAGCUAGUAUAGUUAUUUAAAAACAAAUAUAGUUUCUAGCAAACAUUGUUAGGGUUUAUGUUGUUACACAAAUUGUGGAUGACAGAAAUAAGAAAGCAAAGGAAGCCCUUCACUCUUGAAGCUAGUAAAAUCUUUAGAUUGUUUCUAAAUUGUUGUUUCUUUUGGAAUCAGGGAAGGACAGUUCUUUUCUGAAAGCAUUGAACCGAUUUAAUUGAAAGAACAAUUUGAUUUGUUACUUGAGUGUCUUCUACAGUAAAACAGCUUGGAAUGCUUAAAACUUCCCUUCCCUUCCCAAACCAAGGAUUUAAUACUGGCAGGUGAACUUUUGAAGGGUGCUCUCAAACAUAAAGAGACAAUAACUGUCUUAAAGGUAGAAUUUUGUCAAUAUUUUUUUGCCUUGAGCUGGAAAAA
Non-coding RNA from Anolis sagrei ordinatus, 1976 nucleotides. Lineage: Eukaryota; Metazoa; Chordata; Lepidosauria; Squamata; Anolidae. The record is from RefSeq and is a predicted model, not a curated record.